GCGGAAAUGGCGGAAUUGGCAGACGCGCUGGCUUCAGGUGCCAGUGGUAGCAAUAUCGUGCAGGUUCGACUCCUGUUUUCCGCACCA
This 87-nucleotide transfer RNA is filed under the name Clostridiales bacterium. RNAcentral's name for it is "tRNA-Leu". It matches the Rfam family "tRNA". From Rfam's summary of the family: Transfer RNA (tRNA) molecules are approximately 80 nucleotides in length. Their secondary structure includes four short double-helical elements and three loops (D, anti-codon, and T loops). The record is from RNAcentral. RNAcentral also lists the same sequence under 1 other name. Lineage: Bacteria; Bacillati; Bacillota; Clostridia; Eubacteriales.